AGCUCAGCUGGGAAGACCUGCUCACCUGGAACAGCUGUUGGACUCACCUGUUCAGGUGGUGUCAGGAUGGUGGGACAGCCGAGCCACUGUGCUGGUACUUUGGAGAUCCAACACCAGGGACAGUGGAGACCAGUACAAGACUAUGAUGGAGACUGGGACCUUAAGUCUGGAUCUGCUGUGUGUCAGUAUCUGGACUGUGGAUCAGCUGUUUCAGUCAACAGAACAGAUGAUUCUGCAGACAGACGUGUGUGGUUGGUCUCAGUUCCUUGUGUAAAGCUGACAUCUGGACUGAGGGACUGUGUUGGACUAUAUGAUUCUUAUACAGACUCAUCUGGUGUGGAGGUGGUGUGUUCAGAUCUGCUGCCUCAGCCCAACAUCUCCCUGUCUGACGGGGUCUUUGGGGUCUACCAGC
Sphaeramia orbicularis (orbiculate cardinalfish) is the source of this 412-nucleotide long non-coding RNA. RefSeq lists it as uncharacterized. NCBI's taxonomy places the organism in Eukaryota, Metazoa, Chordata, Actinopteri, Kurtiformes, Apogonidae. The record is from RefSeq and is a predicted model, not a curated record. The transcript is spliced from 3 exons.